CAUCUGUUUGCUAGUACUGUGAGAAAACGUGCUCAUCGAAGAGGUCUGGAUGCUUAAACAAACGCUGGAGCUGCUUUUUUUGUCGAACACGAGGUUGAACACACCUGCAGCGUGAAGGUUUACUCAUUCAGCUGCUGCAGCCUGAUCAGAAACACCAGCUCUCACCUCACAAACCAAACAGGUGUCACCACUUCGUACAUGAUCGCAGAGAGUCUUCGUACAGUGAAGUUCUCUGAAACCAGGACAGAGGCCUCCAGGAAUCAAGCUUCAACCAUUAAAUCACAGAGAGAAGAGACAAAUGUGAAGACAUUUCCAGAAGGUCUUCAGCUGCUGUCGUCUUCUCCUCCUGCAGAGACAAGAACACGUGUUAAUCACAGAAACUUAUCAGUAAAUCUAUUUUAUCUUUCCUAAACUGACCUUAUUCAUUGUUGAUACCUAAUCACAGUGAUUUAAACUAAACUUUUUACAACUCAUUCAGUAUCACAUAAUUUUGGAUGUUUUUUGAAGCCUUACUAUACUAUGACAUUUCUAUGGCUUACUAAGACAAUUCUUUAACCAUUUUUGAUG
Molecule: long non-coding RNA, 567 nt
Organism: Lates calcarifer (barramundi perch)
Lineage: Eukaryota; Metazoa; Chordata; Actinopteri; Centropomidae
Exons: 5
Source: RefSeq, a predicted model, not a curated record